RNAcentral lists this unclassified non-coding RNA (346 nucleotides) under Hevea brasiliensis (rubber tree). The record is from RNAcentral. Lineage: Eukaryota; Viridiplantae; Streptophyta; Magnoliopsida; Malpighiales; Euphorbiaceae.
UUUAUUUUUAUUUUUAUUUUUUGCAUUGGGGAGAAGGGAACAGGGCAUUACAAAGAGACAAGUCAAUGAAAAACCUAAAUAAGAAUUGCUAAAUAAAUUCAUAUUCUCAUAAACAUAAUGUAACAGAUAGCAUUUUCUUAUGCAAAUGUUUAUUCUUCUCUCAUGUUCUAUGCUCUUUUCUUUUCCUAUUUUCCCGUUUACAAGAACACUAUAUGGCAAUUUAAUCAUCUUUCAUUAUUCAACUUAUCAAACAAAAGAUAUGCAGGCAUUGCAAUUGUUGAUAUUAGGUGCAAGUAAUUUAAAAACAAAGGCUCUACAGGAUAUAAAUAUUUUUAUAGAAAUGUUA